AGUGAACGCUGGCGGUAGGCCUAACACAUGCAAGUCGAACGGCAGCACAGUAAGAGCUUGCUCUUACGGGUGGCGAGUGGCGGACGGGUGAGGAAUACAUCGGAAUCUACUUUUUCGUGGGGGAUAACGUAGGGAAACUUACGCUAAUACCGCAUACGACCUACGGGUGAAAGCAGGGGAUCUUCGGACCUUGCCCGAUUGAAUGAGCCGAUGUCGGAUUAGCUAGUUGGCGGGGUAAAGGCCCACCAAGGCGACGAUCCGUAGCUGGUCUGAGAGGAUGAUCAGCCACACUGGAACUGAGACACGGUCCAGACUCCUACGGGAGGCAGCAGUGGGGAAUAUUGGACAAUGGGCGCAAGCCUGAUCCAGCCAUACCGCGUGGGUGAAGAAGGCCUUCGGGUUGUAAAGCCCUUUUGUUGGGAAAGAAAAGCAGCAGGUUAAUACCCCGCUGUUCUGACGGUACCCAAAGAAUAAGCACCGGCUAACUUCGU
This 491-nucleotide ribosomal RNA is filed under the name uncultured bacterium. RNAcentral's name for it is "partial 16S ribosomal RNA". It matches the Rfam family "Bacterial small subunit ribosomal RNA", at positions 29 to 506 of the family's 1533-position model. The record is from RNAcentral.